This 621-nucleotide long non-coding RNA is filed under the name Bos taurus (domestic cattle). RNAcentral describes it as "long non-coding RNA NONBTAT019793". The record is from RNAcentral. Lineage: Eukaryota; Metazoa; Chordata; Mammalia; Artiodactyla; Bovidae.
CAAGAAAAACCUCUUAGAAUGGUAAGAAUUACUUUGUAUUCCAUUCUUAAAGGAAAAGAUUUACUGUAGCUGUGGUAGUUAGCUAUUGAUAUUUUCUUGGAAAUUGAUUUUCCGAUAUAAUUUACUCAUUGACUUUUAAAGUUUAUUGGCCUGAAUUCCCUUGUCCUUCUUUAUCCAGUACCAUACUCUCACAGUCUUAUUCAUGUAGCCUUUGUUUGUCAUAAGGUUCUAUGCUGCAGCUCCUACAAUAGAAGCUCCUGUGGUUGGAAAGAAAGUUCAUUGUUUGCCAGUGUCAAGUGCUACUUGAUUAUUUGUUUAGAACAGUAUUUACUUAUUAAUAUAUUUGUUCAUAAUGAUCCCUUUUUGUUAAAAUUUACAAAAGGUAGCAUUUUUUUUAACUUUAAAUUCAGUCUCCAUCAGUGACUUCUUAAAAAGAAUUUAGAAAUUGAAAAAAUUUUAAAGCCCAAAUGCUCCAGUUUUUAUUUAAAGUCAAAAUUGUUAAUCUGGAAAAUAUUAUAAGUAAUAUUGUGCAUAAUGUCACAUGGGUUUAUUGCCAAUUUUGACUCAUGCUGAUCUGAUUUUUCCGCCCCCAGAAUGUAUAAAAGAGUGUAAGGAUGUAUA